Molecule: ribosomal RNA, 518 nt
Filed under: uncultured bacterium
Lineage: Bacteria
Description: bacterial SSU rRNA
Rfam family: Bacterial small subunit ribosomal RNA
Source: RNAcentral
AGAGUUUGAUUAUGGCUCAGGAUGAACGCUAGCUACAGGCUUAACACAUGCAAGUCGAGGGGCAUCACGUGGCAGCAAUGUCAUGGUGGCGACCGGCGCACGGGUGAGUAACGCGUAUCCGACCUGGCCUUCACUCCGGGACAGCCCUCCGAAAGGGGGAUUAAUCCGGGAUGUGUGGAGAAGUCGCAUGGAAUCUCCAUGAAAGAUUCAUCGGUGAAGGAUGGGGAUGCGUCCCAUUAGGUAGUCGGCGGGGUAACGGCCCACCGAGCCCGCGAUGGGUAGGGGUACUGAGAGGUAGGUCCCCCCACACUGGAACUGAGACACGGUCCAGACUCCUACGGGAGGCAGCAGUGAGGAAUAUUGGUCAAUGGGGGGAACCCUGAACCAGCCAAGUAGCGUGGAGGAAUGACGGCCCUACGGGUUGUAAACUCCUUUUAUGCGGGGGUAAUGUACGCCACGCGUGGUGUAUUGCAAGUACCGCAUGAAUAAGCAUCGGCUAACUCCGUGCCAGCCGCUGC